Molecule: ribosomal RNA, 409 nt
Filed under: Verrucomicrobiota bacterium
Lineage: Bacteria; Pseudomonadati; Verrucomicrobiota
Description: Verrucomicrobia bacterium partial 16S ribosomal RNA
Rfam family: Bacterial small subunit ribosomal RNA
Source: RNAcentral
UGGGGAAUAUUGCACAAUGGGCGCAAGCCUGAUGCAGCGACGCCGCGUGGGGGAUGACGGCCUUCGGGUUGUAAACUCCUUUCGCUAGGGACGAAGCUUUUUGUGACGGUACCUAGAUAAGAAGCACCGGCUAACUACGUGCCAGCAGCCGCGGUAAUACGUAGGUCCCGAGCGUUGUCCGGAUUUAUUGGGCGUAAAGCGAGCGCAGGCGGUUAGAAAAGUCUGAAGUGAAAGGCAGUGGCUCAACCAUUGUAGGCUUUGGAAACUGUUUAACUUGAGUGCAGAAGGGGAGAGUGGAAUUCCAUGUGUAGCGGUGAAAUGCGUAGAUAUAUGGAGGAACACCGGUGGCGAAAGCGGCUCUCUGGUCUGUAACUGACGCUGAGGCUCGAAAGCGUGGGGAGCGAACAGG